RNAcentral lists this ribosomal RNA (253 nucleotides) under uncultured bacterium. RNAcentral describes it as "partial 16S ribosomal RNA". It matches the Rfam family "Bacterial small subunit ribosomal RNA", at positions 524 to 776 of the family's 1533-position model. The record is from RNAcentral.
UACGUAGGGUGCAAGCGUUAUCCGGAAUUAUUGGGCGUAAAGAGCUCGUAGGCGGCGCGGAUAGUCGGCGGUGAAAGCCCGGAGCUCAACUCCGGGUCGGCCGUCGAUACUUCCGGGCUUGAGCACUGUAGAGGCAGAUGGAAUUCCGGGUGUAGCGGUGGAAUGCGUAGAGAUCCGGAAGAACACCGGUGGCGAAGGCGGUCUGCUGGGCAGUUGCUGACGCUGAUGCGCGACAGCGUGGGGAGCAAACAGG